UACAAGUCACGCUGAUGUUAUAUGUGGAGAUAGGCUGGAACUUAACUCUCCUAAAAUGAUACAAAAAUAAAAUAGAAUAGGUCACUUUACUCGUUUGAUUCAUUGUUCUAUAAUUUGUGUGAGAUAAUUUUCCUGCUGUUUAGCUUCUUGUGUAUGUCAGAUUAUGUUGUACUACUGAAAAUGAUCAUACUAACAUGAAUUUCACAACAAGAGUGGAGUGGUCUUGUAAUGAUUUGUUUGGUCUACUUCUUGGCCUAGAAGGUGAUGACAUGUACCUAGAUUUUGACAUCAUUGAAUUUAUUGCUUCAGUCACUAGUACCAUAAAAGAAUUUCCUGUCAUCUUGUUUUAUUACGAGAGUUAAGUUCCAGAUUAGAAUGUUCGUUGAAUAUUAGAUGUUAUAUUCAAAUUUAAUUUUAGUAACCAUUUAGCAUGAAUAUUUAAUAGGAAAUACAAAGUAGAGUAGAUGUUGUCAUUACUUUUAUAUCGGUGUCUGCAUGGAGGAAAUAAUCCUUACGAUAUUUCAAAUUUUAUCUUACAGUUGAUUAUUGAUAAAUUCAGGAGAUUUAGAAACAAUAGUUUUUGCAUUAAAGAAAAAAUUGUAGUUGCCUGUAUGUUAAAUUCUGUGAAAUAUUCACUGAUACUUAAUACACCCAACUGAAUUUUGCAUAGUAGGUCUGUAUUUUCUAAAGUCUUACUUAAUUUUGUAGUAUUGCUGCCAUUGAGCUGCUGGUAUGAUGCAAAACUUAUUACUGUUCAUUCACUAUAUGGAAUUUGAAAGGUUAAAUAUUCUUCCCAGGCAAAAUGGUACUAUAGCCUUUCCACUACACAGAAUCUGUGCAUUAGUCACAGCAUUUUAUAGUUUUAGUUGGACAGCAGCAGCAAAAUAUCCUUACUGUGAAAUUAAAUCAAGGAAUUCAUAAAAUGCUUGCAUCAGAACCUACAGUUUUUUUAAAUAUAAGACCUACAUGUAAUUCUUAAAAUUUCAAUACUUGUAAACCAGUCACAAGCAGUUUUAAUGUGAUAAUUUUUAUAAUCUCUUAAGUAUCGUAUUUAAUAUGAACAGUCCUGCAAUAAUUUAUGCUCAUAUAUAUUUUAUCUUAAAGUAUAGAUUGUCACGUAAUUUAAAGAACAAUUUUUUGUUCUGAUAUUAGCAGUUAGCUUGUUAGAUAUAUACAUGGGCAAAAUUUUCAAGGUUCGUACUAGGAAGCAUAUCAUUGAAGUUUAUUUUGGUGUAUAUCUGUUUCUUUAUAAGUAGAAAAAUUAUCAAAGAAUGCAGAUGCAUGAUUGUAAAGUGUUGGAUAUAUAUAUAUAUAUUGAUGUGAGUUUGUCAAAAAAAUAUAAUUGUGAUGAAAAGAAUGAAGUAUUUAAAUAACUUUUAUACUGAAAUUGAGACAUGUACUCCCUGAAAUAUUGUUUUCAUAGUAGCAAUGCUUUAAUCUGAUCCACUUGCAUGAAAUAUACACUAUUUUUAACUGCUUCAUAUUGCAUAGACAGUUCUUACUUGACAUAAGAAUUUUAUCACAUUAAUGGUAUUUUUUUAUAUAUUUAUAACAAAACUUUCAGUUAUAUUUUAGUUACAUAUUUAUUAUGUUUGCAUUGCAUGAUUGAUGAUUCAGAUGUGUUUGGGUCAGAAUAUGAGUCUCAAUUUCAUUGUAAUUAUUGCAUUGAACAGAUAUUAGAAGUUGUUCCUGAGUGUUAA
Non-coding RNA from Zootermopsis nevadensis, 1700 nucleotides. Lineage: Eukaryota; Metazoa; Arthropoda; Insecta; Blattodea; Termopsidae. The record is from RefSeq and is a predicted model, not a curated record.